This is a long non-coding RNA of Coregonus clupeaformis (lake whitefish), 220 nucleotides long. RefSeq lists it as uncharacterized. The transcript has 3 exons. Lineage: Eukaryota; Metazoa; Chordata; Actinopteri; Salmoniformes; Salmonidae. The record is from RefSeq and is a predicted model, not a curated record.
UCUCGUCCACUAAGGUGAUAUGGUCCACAGAGCUAGAUGGAUCUCGUCCACUAAGGUGAUAUGGUCCACAGAUCUAGAUGGACAGACACUCUGCCCCUCCUCAGUCUUCAUAGCCCCUUCCUGAAGAGUGACCUCAGCCAGGGUGUGUCUCUGCAGUGCUGGGACGGUGUAGUGCUGCCUGACGUGGCUCUCACAGUAGAAGACAGUGCAGGUCAGACAG